Molecule: ribosomal RNA, 253 nt
Filed under: uncultured bacterium
Lineage: Bacteria
Description: partial 16S ribosomal RNA
Rfam family: Bacterial small subunit ribosomal RNA
Source: RNAcentral
UACGAAGGGUGCAAGCGUUAAUCGGAAUUACUGGGCGUAAAGCGCGCGUAGGUGGUUCAGUAAGUUGGAUGUGAAAUCCCCGGGCUCAACCUGGGAACUGCAUCCAAAACUGCUGAGCUAGAGUACGGUAGAGGGUGGUGGAAUUUCCUGUGUAGCGGUGAAAUGCGUAGAUAUAGGAAGGAACACCAGUGGCGAAGGCGACCACCUGGACUGAUACUGACACUGAGGUGCGAAAGCGUGCGGAGCAAACAGG